GAUGAAGAACGUAGCGAAAUGCGAUAAGUAAUGUGAAUUGCAGAAUUCAGUGAAUCAUCGAAUCUUUGAACGCACAUUGCGCCCGCCAGUAUUCUGGCGGGCAUGCCUGUUCGAGCGUCAUUACAACCCUCAGGCCCCCGGGCCUGGCGUUGGGGAUCGGCGGAAGCCCCCUGCGGGCACAACGCCGUCCCCCAAAUACAGUGGCGGUCCCGCCGCAGCUUCCAUUGCGUAGUAGCUAACACCUCGCAACUGGAGAGCGGCGCGGCCACGCCGUAAAACACCCAACUUCUGAAUGUUGACCUCGAAUCAGGUAGGAAUACCCGCUGAACUUAAGCAUAUCAAAGCGGAGGA
RNAcentral lists this unclassified non-coding RNA (351 nucleotides) under soil metagenome. RNAcentral's name for it is "partial contains 5.8S ribosomal RNA, internal transcribed spacer 2, and large subunit ribosomal RNA". The stretch from base 1 to 120 matches the Rfam family "5.8S ribosomal RNA", at positions 35 to 154 of the family's 154-position model. The record is from RNAcentral.